GACGAACGCUGGCGGCGUGCCUAAUACAUGCAAGUAGAACGCUGAAGGAGGAGCUUGCUUCUCUGGAUGAGUUGCGAACGGGUGAGUAACGCGUAGGUAACCUGCCUGGUAGCGGGGGAUAACUAUUGGAAACGAUAGCUAAUACCGCAUAAUAGUAGAUGUUGCAUGACAUUUGCUUAAAAGGUGCAAUUGCAUCACUACCAGAUGGACCUGCGUUGUAUUAGCUAGUUGGUGGGGUAACGGCUCACCAAGGCGACGAUACAUAGCCGACCUGAGAGGGGGGUCGGCCACACUGGGACUGAGACACGGCCCAGGCUCCUACGGGAGGCAGCAGUAGGGAAUCUUCGGCAAUGGACGGAAGUCUGACCGAGCAACGCCGCGGGAGUGAAGAAGGGUGUCGGAUCGUAAAAAUCUGUUGUAAGGGAAGAACGAGUGGGAGAGUGGAAAGUUCACACUGUGACGGUAUCUAACCAGAAAGGGACGGCUAACUACGUG
Molecule: ribosomal RNA, 495 nt
Filed under: uncultured bacterium
Lineage: Bacteria
Description: partial 16S ribosomal RNA
Rfam family: Bacterial small subunit ribosomal RNA
Source: RNAcentral